RNAcentral lists this long non-coding RNA (672 nucleotides) under Pan troglodytes (chimpanzee). RNAcentral describes it as "long non-coding RNA NONPTRT005528". Lineage: Eukaryota; Metazoa; Chordata; Mammalia; Primates; Hominidae. The record is from RNAcentral.
CCAAAGAUCAGUGGGAGAUUAGUGUAGAACAUUAAACAGAGGUGGGGUGUGUGUCAUAUUUCCAUUAAAAAAUUCAUCCUGGCCACAGUGUGAAGAAUAGAUUAGGGAGGAAGCCAAUCAGGAAGCAAUUGGAGUAGGCAAUGCAAAAGGCAAAGUGAACUUGGACUAGUGGUGGAGAUAAGUUGACUGCAGAGAGAGUAGGAAGUAAAAUUGGCCAGGCCUGUGUUGGGGGUGGGCUUGUGAGCAGGAUGUCAAAGAUAAUGUCCAGGAUUCUGGCUUGGAUGACAACUAUGGCAAUGCCCAUUACUGAGCUAGGAGAUGCUGGAGGAAGAUCAGGUGGGGACUGUGAGCAUGAGUUUGAUUUUUGCAGAUACUGGGUUUGAGACACUUUUGAGUCAAGCAGGCAUUUGGAAAUGUGGACUGGUGCCGAGAAGGAAUUCCCAGCAGUGAUUUGGUUUAGGUGGUCCUGGAAAGUAGAAACACCCAUGAGAUAAUUCUGGGGAUGGAGCUUAAAGGGACGUCAGCGUUCAAGGGCCAGGUAGAGGAUCAUGAGCUGUAAAGGGGACCCAGGUGGUUCCGGCACAGCGAGGAAAGCCUGCGAGUGUGAUGGCCAGGCUUCCAGGGAGAGAGGAGGGUUUUAAGGAGAACAACAUGCUGAAAGCCACUAAGAAG